UGGGCCCUUAGAAGAGGUAUUUUAUAAAAGUAUAAAACUAUUGAGGAGUGCUACAAUCAUCUACCAGAUGAUAUAUCUCUACUAGUUUAAAAACAAAUAAUGGAUAAACAAAGAAAGAAGAAUUGACAGAUCUUUUUAUUUUUUAUGAAUCAGUGGUGGAGGACAGCUAGAAAGUUAGGGGGCUGAUCUUUCAGUUCUUCAGAUCAUGUUGGAUGGUGGCACUUGAUGGAGACUUCCCACUUCGGGGGGCCC
This 252-nucleotide long non-coding RNA is filed under the name Elaeis guineensis (African oil palm). RNAcentral's name for it is "long non-coding RNA (EGUI_LNC063643)". Lineage: Eukaryota; Viridiplantae; Streptophyta; Magnoliopsida; Arecales; Arecaceae. The record is from RNAcentral.